AAACAAGAAGCAAAAAUUGCGUUUAGUUUCGACCUAAAAAUAUGGCCCAUAGCCCUUGUUUU
This 62-nucleotide transfer RNA is filed under the name unidentified. RNAcentral describes it as "Strongylium pinfaense tRNA-Ala". The record is from RNAcentral.